RNAcentral lists this small RNA (107 nucleotides) under Marmota monax (woodchuck). The record is from RNAcentral. Lineage: Eukaryota; Metazoa; Chordata; Mammalia; Rodentia; Sciuridae.
GCUGGGUGUGGUGGCGCACGCCUGUAAUCCCAGCAGUUUGGGAGGCUGAGGCUGGAGGAUCAUGGGUUCAAAGCCAGCCUCAGCAACUCAGCGAGACCCUGUCUCUA